Molecule: ribosomal RNA, 745 nt
Filed under: Colletotrichum sp.
Lineage: Eukaryota; Fungi; Ascomycota; Sordariomycetes; Glomerellales; Glomerellaceae
Description: partial large subunit ribosomal RNA
Rfam family: Eukaryotic large subunit ribosomal RNA
Source: RNAcentral
GGCGAGUGAAGCGGCAACAGCUCAAAUUUGAAAUCUGGCCCUAGGCCCGAGUUGUAAUUUGCAGAGGAUGCUUUUGGUGCGGUGCCUUCCAAGUUCCCUAGAACGGGACGCCAGAGAGGGUGAGAGCCCCGUACAGUUGGACACCAAGCCUUUGUAAAGCUCCUUCGACGAGUCGAGUAGUUUGGGAAUGCUGCUCAAAAUGGGAGGUAUAUUUCUUCUAAAGCUAAAUACCGGCCAGAGACCGAUAGCGCACAAGUAGAGUGAUCGAAAGAUGAAAAGCACUUUGAAAAGAGGGUUAAACAGCACGUGAAAUUGUUAAAAGGGAAGCGCUUGUGACCAGACUUGCGUCCGGUGAAUCACCCAGCUCUCGCGGCUGGGGCACUUCGCCGGCUCAGGCCAGCAUCAGCUCGCUGUCGGGGACAAAAGCUUCAGGAACGUAGCUCUCUUCGGGGAGUGUUAUAGCCUGUUGCACAAUACCCUUCGGCGGGCUGAGGUACGCGCUCCGCAAGGAUGCUGGCAUAAUGGUCAUCAGCGACCCGUCUUGAAACACGGACCAAGGAGUCAACCUUAUGUGCGAGUGUUCGGGUGUCAAACCCCUACGCGUAAUGAAAGUGAACGCAGGUGAGAGCUUCGGCGCAUCAUCGACCGAUCCUGAUGUUCUCGGAUGGAUUUGAGUAAGAGCAUAUAGGGUUGGACCCGAAAGAAGGUGAACUAUGCGUGUAUAGGGUGAAGCCAGAGGAAACUC